RNAcentral lists this ribosomal RNA (368 nucleotides) under uncultured organism. RNAcentral describes it as "bacterial SSU rRNA". It matches the Rfam family "Bacterial small subunit ribosomal RNA", at positions 526 to 896 of the family's 1533-position model. The record is from RNAcentral.
CGGAGGGUGCAAGCGUUAUCCGGAUUCACUGGGUUUAAAGGGUGCGUAGGCGGGCAGGUAAGUCAGUGGUGAAAUCUCCAAGCUUAACUUGGAAACUGCCGUUGAUACUAUCUGUCUUGAAUACUGUGGAGGUGAGCGGAAUAUGUCAUGUAGCGGUGAAAUGCUUAGAUAUGACAUAGAACACCAAUUGCGAAGGCAGCUCACUACACAGCCAUUGACGCUGAGGCACGAAAGCGUGGGGAUCAAACAGGAUUAGAUACCCUGGUAGUCCACGCCCUAAACUAUGGAUACUCGACAUACGCGAUACACAGUGUGUGUCUGAGCGAAAGCAUUAAGUAUCCCACCUGGGAAGUACGACCGCAAGGUUG